CCCCAGCCGCCCUCCCCCCACCCUGCCUCCAGCGGGCCGCCGGGCCGGGGUCGCCGCCCGGGCUCGGUCAGUCGGUACCUUCAUGAAGGUCUCUACCGCGCCUUUGGCCGUGUCCAGGUGGUGAAACUGUGCCCAAGUCACACUGUUUCUGGAGCAUGGUCAGUGAGGAGGUCAGUUAUCAACUGUAGCAGUCCAGACUUGGACAAGGAUGCUGGCAGUGGAGAAGGAAAGAAGUGAAGAGAUGAGUGAUGCUUAGGAGGUGAUUGCCUGGACGUGAAGGACAGAGAGAGGACCGAAGUCAACCAGGAAGCCAGAGAACACAGGAGCCGUGCUACAUGUCUACACAAAGCAUCCCCUGGGGAAGACAGCAGGGUCGAGCAGGAGAGAGAGUGUGCCUAGCAUAGUAAGGCUACGUAUCGGGGAUGACUCUGCAGCAUCUUCUGUGAGCAACCCUGUGGACAGUGAUUCAAUUAACUGAAAGGGAAACAGACAAGAUAUUAUAGGUUGAUACCGUCACUACCCACAUUUUCUUUUAGAAAGAAGAAUGCAUUCGUGAUCCCACAGUGUGAGAUUUAAGGCAGACUCACCCGUUGGCCACUCCUCUCCACAGUGCCUUCCAAGUGGGGUUCACCAAAGUCCAGGAAGAAAUCCCCAGAGAGCCGGUCAACCAGGACAGCACAGAGCACUGCCUCUUUUACCCGUCCCAUUUGCUGUGGCCAGCCAUGCUCCUCAGAUGGCAUUGUCGGAACACAUUUUGAUAUGACUGCGUCCCCCUCAGAAUAAAGUCAUGCAACAUUGCACGUGGGGUUA
Molecule: non-coding RNA, 810 nt
Organism: Microcebus murinus (gray mouse lemur)
Lineage: Eukaryota; Metazoa; Chordata; Mammalia; Primates; Cheirogaleidae
Source: RefSeq, a predicted model, not a curated record